Molecule: transfer RNA, 93 nt
Filed under: Streptomyces canarius
Lineage: Bacteria; Bacillati; Actinomycetota; Actinomycetes; Kitasatosporales; Streptomycetaceae
Description: tRNA-Gln
Source: RNAcentral
ACGCGCAAGCUCUCCGGAGGGCAGCGCGCCGUUCUGAUCGCCGCGACAGUCCCGAUGGUCGGCUUCGCCGGGCUCGGCGCCUGGGGCACGUUC